CACAGUCUCUGACAGCUAUGGCAAACUUGUUUUAUUACUGAUAUAACUCUCUGGCACAGUUUGCAAUUUAGCAUUCAAACAAACAAACAAACAAACAAACAAAACAAACAAAACCCCCAGCUGCUUAACAUUACAAACAUUCACUUCAGCACCUUGCUCGGCCUGGGAAUACAGAGAUGAAAGUUCAACACCUGCUUCCUGAAAUUCCAGAGUCUGGAAGAGGGGUGUGAUUUAAACUAUUUAAGUUAUUUCAGCAUAGAGUGCUUAUUUGUUUUAACGGACUGGAGGGCUUGGAUUAGAGGGUCCUGAUAUUCAUCCUGGAUUGUCAGUUAACAUUUGCAAAACCACUCCUGGAUAUAGACAGUCAUUGGUUAAUGCUGAAAGCUUCUAGUAAGAAACCUCAGGUAAGCCCAGGAUCCUUAUCUCUCUUCAAAUCCAGAGAGUUUGGUGAUUAGCAUAAUAGAUAUUAGAAAUGACUCCAGUAUUAGAAAAGAGUGGUGAGUAAGCUAUGUGGUUUGGCUAGAUAUCAAACAGGGAGCACUGCUCUUACGUGAGCACAUACACAGAAGUCCAGUGAACCCAGUGGCCUGUACUCUUCGGGAUGGUACCCUAGGCCUUAAGGUUCCUGCUGGUUCUGCGAUUAGUCCCCUCUAAGGGAAUUCUGUCGUCUGAUCUCAUCUAGGUUAAAAGGAAUACUAAAACCAUAUUAGCACUUCUGCCUGGAAUAAACCUUUCAUAACAGGUGCUUGUCAGAGUUUCUAAAUGAAUGGAGAGUAGAGAUUCCUUCCAGUUUAGAAAACAGUCUCUAAGACUAUUUUUGUGUGUGUGGCAGAGCUCAGUCUGAGUUUUGUUUUCAUAGUAACAUGCCAUCUGGAAGCUGUUUUGGGGGAGUAGAUCAACAGUACUUACUUAUCUGUAGCUGCAAACGUGAGCAGUAUCUCUCAAAAAGAGCCUAAUACCUAAACAACUGAAUUGGCUCAGGUGGGUCAUGACAGGAGACAGUCACACAAAGGCAUCCGGGACAGUGUAAUAAACACAACAGAGUCUUAUACAAGGUAUCCAGACAGCAAAGAUGAUCAACGCACUCAUGGGAAUGGGGCGGCAGAAAAUACUUUAUGGAGAAAGUGACAAAUGAGCAGAAUUUUGAAGGAUAAAAAUAGAACUUGUCCAGAGUAGGGGGAGAUUCUGAGUAAAGGAAACACAAUAUUUGGAAAAAGCAGCAACAAAUACGGCACCCUGAGAGGACCACAAACAGGUGAGCACCGCUGGAACAUGAAGUGGUGGGGCGGGACGGGGGGAGAUGAGGCAGGAUAGACGGGCAGGGGCCGGCGGAGAGGCUCUCAACGACUUGCACAGGAGUUUGUUUUACAAGCCAGUGUAGCCAAAUGUGUUCAGUAAGAAUCAUUUGGUCUACUUCUUAAAAUAUGGUUCCAAACCCCAUACUUGAAAUCUUGAUUUAGUAAGUAUGGGAUGAGGCCUACGAUCUCAGAAUUUUAAACAAGCACUCCAUAGGAUUCUGAUUAUCAAAGGGCCAAAUUUCAAAUAUAAUAGUAGCAAAAUAAUCAUAUUUCAACUUUCCAAACAUCACUCAGGCUACUCAUAGGGGAUGGAGUGGAUGACCUGGGAUUAGAGGUUACUGACAUGCACGUGAGAGAUGCGAGCCCGGAUGAAGGGGCACAGGAAUGGAGAGGACAGGAAAACUAAGGCAAAAUUAAGACUGUGAAACAGACAGGGUUUGGUGCAGUGACAAAGAAGGAAGAACGCAUUAAAAAAACAACAACAACAACCUUAAAAAUAUCAACUAUUUGUUCAUUCAUUCAACAACUAUUUUCUGAGCAUUUACUAUAUGUCGGACACUGUUCUAGAUCUUGGGGGUACAAUAAUGAACAGACAGAUUAAAAAAGGGACUGCCUUCAGGGAACAUAUUCUGUUAGGAGGAGAAAGGACAAACAAAAUAAUUAAGUCAACACAGAGCACAAUAAAUAGUACGUGAGACGAUAAGCAUUGUGAAAAAAAAAACCAGGAAUGGGGACUACAACGCUGGGGUUAUAAUUAUUAAUGGGGUGGUCAGGCAGACCUCUCUGAGAAGCUGACGUCUGAGCAAAUCUGAAAGAGAUGAGGAACUGAAUGUUCCAGGCACAGUGUGCCUGGCCUGUCGGAGGGAAAGGAGCGUCAGUGUACCUGGAGAGGAGAGCAAAGCAGGGGACAGUGGGAGAUGAGGUCAGAGGCGAAGAGCUGGAGGCUGCAGACACCACUGAAAGGACUAAGUGAGAGAGAGGUCGCUGGAGGGCUGUGAGCAAUUUGGCUGCCACACGGAGCAAUGGCUGGAAAACCACCGCCCACUGCCCGUUUCUAAAGUCUGCAACCCCUGAUGCGGAAAACAGACUGAAGGCUGGCCAGAGUGGGAGGCAGGAGGUGCGUCAGAAGGCUACUGCAGUAACUCAGGUGAAGGACGCUGACGGCUUGGACCAGUGGCAGAGAACCAAGCACUUCUGAAAAGCUUUUGUGGCGUGACUGACAGAGAUUCAAGUUGCAGCAUUUGUGAGAGGACAAGUUUACUGGGAGAGAACUCCAGUUUACAGGACUUGCAUACAGUGCAUCUCAUUUCAGUCCUGCAACGGCUCCAUGAGUCAUGCAGGAAAGCGACUAUCUACAUUUUACAAAUAAACCUAUCUGGGCCUUGUUUUAAGUGCUGAAGGGUUUAAUAUGCCUCUCCGUACCACUGCACGGGAAUGUAAUCAAUGUAAGAGCCAGAUCUGGUCUUAGAACAUAAUUAUGGCCCGGUUCAAAUAAAGUUAACCUCUAUUCUACUUUUAUCACUUGGAGUGAGUUUAAUGCUCUUUUAACGUUCUUUGCUUUUCACAUCACCCUUAAGAUACCUGCUUAACUAUUUAUAAAUUGCCAUAUCUAGACACCUUUAUAAUACUUAUUUUAUGGGUUUUCCGAUCAGAUUUUGGACUCCUACAGGGCAUGAACCAGGCUUUACUAAUCUGUGCCAAACACAAGUGCUCAACUAUGUGCUGAGUAAAUCAAUUAAUGACUAAGGUGGGAGGUUGGGAAUAAUGUAAACAACUUUAAUACAUUUAAAAUAGAAGUUGAGUUUUACCAUCUAUGCUAAAGGUUGACAGAGUAUUAUUAGGUCAUAAGAAAUAAAUUUGAAGUUCAACGGCUUUCUACUUGCAAGGGAUGACAAAAAUAACAUACACACCACACACACACACACACACACACACACGCAGGGUUACUAAAUUAAGCCUACAGACUGGUUUUCAUUCAGUACCAUGUGACUUUAUUUUGGCCCUAGGCGUCACUUAUUUUUAAGAAUGUUCAAGUGUACCUAGUGAGUGUUUUAGAAAAACAGUCUAAAAGGAAUACAAGAUUUCCAUAACAACUAUUAAGAACUCAAGUUCUCUAAACCCUUACGCCUAGUGCUUCCAGGCAUAUUGCCAGUAACCAAGUACUGACAUCCAGGGUUUCCAACCCUUGUUCCCACUGGCCUCCAGAACAGGCAUCUGUGCCACUCUGCUGCUUCUCCCCUAUUCUUCAGAGCCACCUAUUUCUUUGAGCUCCAGUUUUCUGCUGGCCCAGGUUAAUCUUUAUGUCACAAUGUUGACUGAAUCCUGUUAAUAACAGAUCUAUCCAGCUCAUCUGAUCAACAUCAUUAUGUGUAAAUCUACUGUAGGCAGAAUUUUACCAACUGUUAUUCAAUAUUAUCUCUACAUACGCUGCUGACGAAAGAGGAAGUUUUGGUUUGGUUCUGGAGGGUGAUGGGGCCCAGUGACUCCAACCAAAGUGACUGAUGGGCUAUGAGAUGGGCCACUGCUAUAAGGAUGUGAUUAAUUUGCAGAGAAUGUUGCAAGAAGUCUUAAGAUGAGGCUCCACUUUUGUAUACAAUUUGAGAGAAUUUUAAGUAAAUUAAUUAUGAAGAACCAACCAGAUACACCUUGAAAAAAUUCUCAUAUAUAUUUGAUUGAUAAGAUGGUGAAACAUGAGCUGGACAAACUAACAGGCUGCUUCUCUAUAAAUCCCACAUCUGGCCCCUGUCUGCCUAGAGAUUCUAUUCUGUGUUUAGCCUCUACCUAAUCUACCUUUUCAUCAAUUUUUUUUUUUUUUGGUGUAAACAUCUCAUAUCUUAAAAGGCUUUGCAGAGGACAGUACUGCAACAAUACAAACUUUUCUUCUCCCAAACACUUAACAUACAAACCAAACCACAAUGGUUAAAAUUACCUAACAGAAUUUAAAACAAACAGCAGAAGUGUGAGAAUAGUUUAUAUGAUUCUCAAAUGUUACUUCCCAUUUC
Molecule: long non-coding RNA, 4300 nt
Organism: Physeter macrocephalus (sperm whale)
Lineage: Eukaryota; Metazoa; Chordata; Mammalia; Artiodactyla; Physeteridae
Exons: 3
Source: RefSeq, a predicted model, not a curated record